Molecule: long non-coding RNA, 321 nt
Filed under: Mytilus galloprovincialis (Mediterranean mussel)
Lineage: Eukaryota; Metazoa; Mollusca; Bivalvia; Mytilida; Mytilidae
Source: RNAcentral
UACUUACAUCCUGACCAAUUAAAUCCAAUGUUUUUGUAAAUACUGUAUACUUUCUCAUUCAAAAUGUGUAUUUCUUUUUCUACACAUAUCCUAAAGACACGUUCAUUUGAGAUAAGAUUAGGAAAUGUAUAUAUGUAUGUACCGUACACUCACUCAUAUAAUAACAUGUAUAUCUCCCAGCGACACUUGUGCAACUUAAUCGUCUUUAGUAUUCAUGUUACCGAUUUGGAAUAAACGUGUCUAUAAUUGAUCACUGGAUUUGAAAAGAAUCGAUGACCUUUUAAAAAGUUUCCGAUAAUAAAUUCACCUGAUAUGAGACAG